Molecule: unclassified non-coding RNA, 3155 nt
Filed under: Chelonus insularis
Lineage: Eukaryota; Metazoa; Arthropoda; Insecta; Hymenoptera; Braconidae
Description: ran-binding protein 9, transcript variant X1
Source: RNAcentral
CACUACAUUCAUGAACGUUAGUAGAAGACGAACUGAGCCACAAUAAAGCCUGCGCAUAGACUUGUACGUGUGAUUAGCCUCACAGUUUGGACGUGGUUGGACGAGAGUGUGGGGCUGUGGAAGACGAUGAUGGCUGCCACCAGCGACGAACAGAGUAGUAUGGAGUCUUCGCGGACGAAUUCAGGGCAAAAUCAAACAAUAGAUCGGCUAAAAAUGCUGUAUCCAAUGGUGAAUGAAGAUGAAACACCACUACCAAGAUCUUGGAGUCCAAAGGAUAAGUACAACUACAUAGGACUAUCACAAAAUAAUCUUCGCGUUCACUACAAAGGUUUUGGUAAAACACACAAAGACGCUGCCAGUGUUCGCACAACGCAUUCAAUACCUGCUGCCUGUGGUCUUUAUUACUUUGAGGUGAAAAUAGUGAGUAAAGGAAGAGAUGGAUACAUGGGAAUAGGUCUUUCUGCCCAUGGAGUUAACGUAAAUAGAUUACCUGGAUGGGACAAAUACUCGUAUGGUUACCAUGGUGACGAUGGGCAUAGUUUUUGUUCAUCAGGAACUGGUCAACCGUAUGGGCCCACAUUUACCACAGGCGAUGUAAUUGGUUGUGGCGUCAAUCUUGUGGAUAAUACCGCAUUUUAUACCAAAAAUGGACACCAUUUGGGCAUUGCCUUCACAGAUUUACCACCAAAUUUAUAUCCUACAGUAGGUCUUCAAACACCUGGAGAAGUAGUAGAUGCUAAUUUUGGACAAACACCAUUUGUUUUUGAUAUAGGAGACAUGAUCAAUGAACUUCGUGUUCGAACUAGAUUACAGAUUAUUAAUUAUCCUACACCUGAUCAUGGUCAGGGUCAAUGGCAGGCUGUUCUUCACAAAAUGGUUUCAACGUAUCUUGUUCAUCAUGGGUACUGUGACACUGCCGAAGCAUUUGCCAAUAGCACAGGACAAGUCUUUGAAGAAGACUUUAAUUCUAUAAAAAAUAGACAAAAAAUUUUAAAACUAGUGUUAGCUGGUAGAAUGGGUGAAGCAAUAGAACUCACAAGUCGGUUAUAUCCCGGAUUAUUAGAACGAGAUCCAAAUUUAAUGUUUGCUUUAAAGUGUCGUCAGUUUGUGGAAAUGGUGAAUGGAAGUGAUUCCGAAGUAAAUCAAAAUAAUAAUGACAACCAAACAAGUGUUAUUCAAUCAACAAAAACAUACAAUAAACUAUCUGCUAAUGGGAAUGUUGAGGAAAUGAAUUUAAAUAAUACAAUAAACGGCUCUACCGAUCAACCAUUUAUUAAUGGCCAGAUUGAAGAUGAUGUAGAAAUGGAAGAGAAUACGAUGAAUAAUAUUAAUGGUAUUAAAAAUAAUACAAAUGGUUAUCAGAAUGGUAAUCCCAAUUCAAAUGGAUAUAAAUGUAUAAAUGGUGAAGACAUUGAUAUGGAAAUAGACAGUGCCAAUCAAAAUCAAAAUAACAACAGUAAUACAAAUAAUAAUGGUCUUUGUAAUAACACAGAAAGCCAAAAUUCAACGAUAAAAAGUAGUAAAAAACAAUUAUGUGGUGGUAAUAAACAAGCAAUUGAAAAGAUGCUUGAGUUUGGCCGACAAUUAUAUUCACAGUCGAUACAUCUUCGGCAACAGUAUGGAAAAAAUGAAGCCAAUAAAAAAAUGUUACAAGAUGCAUUCAGUUUAUUGGCGUAUUCGAAUCCAUGGAAUUCACCAGUUGGUUGGCAAUUAGAUCCCCAGGAACGGGAAACUGUAUGUGCUAGACUUAAUUCUGCAAUUUUAGAGUCUACGAAUCUUCCACGACGACCACCCCUUGAAGUAGCAAUAUCUCAUGCGAGGGAAUUAUUACGACUGAUGUCUGGAGCUGGUCUCGGAGCUUGUGGUUUUGCAGUUGUGGAUAAUAUCAUUCAAUAUUGACGGUGCCUACCUCUGCUUUCACGACCGCUUCUUCUACCUGCCCGUGUGUGGUGAGUGAUCCUCUUAUUAUCCAGGGAAAGUGCCUGACAAUCGAUGGACUCGACGAAAACAGCAACGAAACAUUUCCAGAAGCAACAAAAAAUUCUUUAAUUGCACUACAAUGCAACUUAUUAUGGGAUUCGGAGACGGAACGUGGAGCAGACGAUACUAUUGAUGGAACAACUACGCGAUUUAGCGUGCCUCUUCAACUAAAUGCCAAGAUAAAUUUUAUGUUUUUUGUGAAUAUAUUAUUAAAUUAAACAAAAUAACUCUCCAUCAUCUUGGCUGAUCUCAAGACCACAACAGCGUAGACAUAAUCAAGUUAGACGCUCAGACCUGCCAACUAAAAUUGGAGUUUAAAUUUUCUUAGAUGAAAUUGAAUUAAGAUCAACGAAAAAAAAAAAAAACAAAAUAAUUAUUCAAAUACUUAGAAAUUGGUUUACAACAACAACAACAACAACAGUUUGCUUGAAAUUUAUCACUCGCUUGUGGUAAAUAAUCCGCUAAUAAAUGUUUUUAUCACGUUUAAACUGAGCGUUGUAUUAUGUUUUCCCGUUUCUAGGAGAAAUAACGAUAUUUAAUGACAAAUUAUGUUUUGAAAUAGUCAUUUUUAAAUGUGUUCGAUAUAAACACUUCUUUAUACUCAAAUAAUUUGUACAGAAAAAUUCUAAAAGAAUACCAUUUUUUCAUUAUAAUUUCACUUAAUGCGCAUGCGUCAUAGAUCUUAUUACGUAUGAGAAUGUGCGCAUGUGCAGCCGAAAAAAAAAAAAAAAUUAUGUAAAAUUAUAAAAAGAAAAAUUUUAUUCUUUUAAUUUUUUCGACAAUAAUGUCAGACAGUUUUUAACAAUAUUAUUGAUCAGAUGAUAUUAUUAUUUUUUUUUUUUUUCAUGUUUUACCAACAAUUAGCAUUUUUUUUUAUCAAAAAAAAUGUGUGCAAUAUAUUGUGUCUUUUAGAUAAAUUUUAUUUACAUUUUUGAUCACAAAUAAAAUAAAUUAAACUAAUGGAAACGUGAGAACAUUCUUUAUUGAUGAACACAAAGGUCUUAAGUUAACAUGAAUAAUAUAGAAAUGGAAAAUUAAAAAAAAAAAAAAAAGUAUAGAUAAAAAAAAAAUAAUAAUAACUUAACUAAGAAACGAUCUUGUACUCUAUAAUAAAUAAUAAGUAAUUGUUUUUUAUAUGCGAAAAUAGAAUAUAUGAAAAAUGGAUAAUGAAUAAU